RNAcentral lists this ribosomal RNA (216 nucleotides) under Zalaria obscura. Its description in RNAcentral is "partial 28S ribosomal RNA". It matches the Rfam family "Eukaryotic large subunit ribosomal RNA", at positions 1 to 215 of the family's 3401-position model. Lineage: Eukaryota; Fungi; Ascomycota; Dothideomycetes; Dothideales; Zalariaceae. RNAcentral also lists the same sequence under 1 other name. The record is from RNAcentral.
UUGACCUCGGAUCAGGUAGGGAUACCCGCUGAACUUAAGCAUAUCAAUAAGCGGAGGAAAAGAAACCAACAGGGAUUGCCCUAGUAACGGCGAGUGAAGCGGCAACAGCUCAAAUUUGAAAUCUGGCCCUUUCAGGGUCCGAGUUGUAAUUUGUAGAGGAUGCUUUUGGGCAGCCACCGGUCUAAGUUCCUUGGAACAGGACGUCAUAGAGGGUGA